This 102-nucleotide small RNA is filed under the name Bradyrhizobium erythrophlei. RNAcentral's name for it is "Rhizobiales-2 RNA". It matches the Rfam family "Rhizobiales-2 RNA". Lineage: Bacteria; Pseudomonadati; Pseudomonadota; Alphaproteobacteria; Hyphomicrobiales; Nitrobacteraceae. The record is from RNAcentral.
CUCGCUUGAAAACACGCUGAUCGUGGAUCCUGCGUCCGGCACGGGCGCCUCAUCCACCCUGUGCCGCACACCGACCCGCCCGGUUGUCCCCCCGGGCGGGUC